AUCAAGUAAACCAUCAAUAUGCGAGUACCAAACAUAACAAUUGGCAGAUAAGUAACUCCCAUCAAAGUAUCGUUUACUAGUAGUACAACUGCGUAUCCCAUUAAUUGCCUUGGAUAAACACUUAGUACAAUCCUCCUUCGAUAUAUCAGGAGUACAUUGCACCGCCACAUGAAGAGGGAAUUCAUCUCGAUCAUAAGUUACACUUCCUGACGCAAAUUUCCGAAGAGCAUCACCUUCGGCCGCUUGCUCCUUUAACUUACUUACCAAACCAUCCACAGUUUUCUCCAACUCAUCAGUCUUGACAUACCCGUUUCCCUCGUGACAGUACCAAGCCCAAUCAUCGAGCACUGAGAAAAUUUUGCGGCCCACAGAGUAACGCACCAUACACUGUACAGACUCGUAGAGGUCCCAUGCUACAACUUCAUUUUGUUUAGGGCACUUUUUUACUGCAUACUCGACCACAUGCCGCAAGCAACACUCGCAAAUUGGCCUUGAUUGGGCAUUGGGGGGACAAAGGUAGAUGGCGCUAACUUGCUCCUCAGGUUUGUCGCCCACUUGGGUAUGGUGAAAACCGUUGUAGCUUGAAUUUGAAUCCUUAAGUUGCGCUAUGAGUUUAUCAAAUGCGGAAUCUCGGUUUUUUUGUACGUUGAUGCUUUUGAAAUAACCUCUGCAUUCGUGCCUGUCUUGCAUCAAAUUUUGAGCUGUGGAGAGAUUAGCACCAUUGAUGAUUGCUUGAAGAAUGAAGAGAAAUGAAAUUUUGGAUUUCAUUUCCAUUUGUGCGCAAAAAGUGACUUUGAGUUUUAUACGGUUUUAAUCAAUGCUUGUACAACAAAACUUGAUAUAUCAGAGUUUGAUGCAACUCUAAGAAAUAUAUUUU
This 877-nucleotide long non-coding RNA is filed under the name Helianthus annuus (common sunflower). RNAcentral's name for it is "hypothetical non coding rna". The record is from RNAcentral. Lineage: Eukaryota; Viridiplantae; Streptophyta; Magnoliopsida; Asterales; Asteraceae.